GUGAUCUAUCCAUGAGCAGGUUGAAAGUGACGUAACAGUUACCGGAGGACCGAACCCACUGUCUUUGAAAAGCCAGGGGAUGACUUGUGGAUAGGGGUGAAAGGCUAAUCAAACUCGGUGAUAGCUGGUUCUCCCCGAAAGCUAUUUAGGUAGCGCCUCGGACGAAUACCAUUGGGGGUAGAGCACUGUUAAGGCUAGGG
This 200-nucleotide ribosomal RNA is filed under the name Prymnesium parvum. Its description in RNAcentral is "partial Bacterial large subunit ribosomal RNA". It matches the Rfam family "Bacterial large subunit ribosomal RNA", at positions 725 to 924 of the family's 2925-position model. The record is from RNAcentral. Lineage: Eukaryota; Haptophyta; Prymnesiales; Prymnesiaceae.